CAUUGGUAAAACAACUUCCUUGUGGUUAAUCUGGACCGAUUCCCCUUACGGAAACGGGUUCCAUUUAAGCACUAUCUUGAUGCCGUUCCUUUCUCUUUUGGCUCCGAUCUUAGAUUCGUUACCUUUCACCCUUGCCUUGGUCCCUGUUAUUCGCUGCUUUUUCGCGCGGCGUUCCCUUUUUUGCUGUUCUUCAACCCUUUGAAAUAUUGCAGGAUGCUCGCACCUCCUCCUUGUGUCAAAAGGAUUUUAUCAGAUAAUGCUGCGGUGGUCCUUCCUUCUCUAACUGGGAGGAGGGAGAGAUCUUCGUCACUCCCAUAGCGGUCGCCAUGGAUACCAAGAAGCUUCAGAACAAGGAGAAGAAGUCUAAGAGGAAAGAGGUUCUUGAAAAGAGAAAAGCAAUUGAUGGCAUAAUAAAAGCUGCAUCAGCUGAAGCUGACCAUCUUGCUUUUUUUCAGCCCUUUCAGAAGUUUGAUAGGAAUGGACUCACACUAUGUCUGGAGUCAGGAAUUGGUGACCAACUUUCUUCUCCUAUGAAAAAGUACAUUCAGUGUCUGUUAAAGCUUAAUAUGGAAGGUCCAUAUGGACCAGAAUGGCCUGCUGAAGAGAAGAUCAAACGCAGAGAAAUGGUUGCUCCUGAAGCACGUUAUAUAUUUAUCCGAAGAGCCAGAGGAACAGUUGCUAAAGAAACUCUCAACGAUGAUUCAGAUGAAUGCCAAAUCCACUGGAUGGCAGAUGGAGAUUCAGUUGUGGGGUUUGUACAGUAUCGCUUUAUUGUGGAGGAGGACAUACCUGUUACAUAUGUUUAUGAACUUCAGUUGGAGCCCUGUGUGCAAGGGAAGGGGUUAGGCAAGUUCCUGAUGCAACUCAUUGAGCUUAUUGCUCGAAAGAAUCGAAUGGGUGCUGUUAUGCUUACAGUUCAGAAGGCAAAUGUGUCAGCCAUGCAUUUCUACACAAGUAAACUUAGAUACACAAUUUCGACCAUUUCACCUUCGCGAGUUGAUCCUCUGGUGUGUAGCAUCUCAACUAGAGGAACAUCCUGUUAACAAUCAAUAGGAGCUGAGAAGAGUUAUGAAAUACUGUGCAAAACAUUCCAUCCUGAAGCUAAAGACAAAUUAGAGGGAAACAGCUUUACAGGUGAAGCACACCAUUGAUCCUAAAGUUAAACCAUGGGCAUCUCAACUUUUUCACACAGUAGGUGAUGGUUCCAUCUGAAGCUCUUAUCAGGUCAAUGUCAAGUGGCGUGUAUUCUUUUCCACAAUGUGCAUAUAUAGUUGUCUUAAUCAAGGCAAAAGAUUUUGUUUACGAAGACUCAACCUUGGUAUAAUGAAGUGAACAUUGACAGGCAUUGUACAAAUUAAGUCAACCUGCUGACAUGAUAUCUGUUCACAUACAUAUUGAAGUCCUUGGCAAAUUUUGUGACGAGAACACUUCCCUGUUCUGUUCAACAUAAACCUCCUGCGCUGUUACCAGUUAUUCUGAGUU
RNA transcript from Nymphaea colorata (pocket water lily), 1482 nucleotides. RefSeq lists it as uncharacterized. The transcript has 8 exons. NCBI's taxonomy places the organism in Eukaryota, Viridiplantae, Streptophyta, Magnoliopsida, Nymphaeales, Nymphaeaceae. The record is from RefSeq and is a predicted model, not a curated record.